UACGGAGGGUGCAAGCGUUAUCCGGAUUCACUGGGUUUAAAGGGUGCGUAGGCGGGCAUGUAAGUCUGUGGUGAAAUCUCCAAGCUUAACUUGGAAACUGCCAUGGAUACUAUAUGUCUUGAAUGUCGUUGAGGUCAGCGGAAUAUGUCAUGUAGCGGUGAAAUGCUUAGAUAUGACAUAGAACACCUAUUGCGAAGGCAGCUGACUAAGCGAAUAUUGACGCUGAGGCACGAAAGCGUGGGGAUCAAACAGG
RNAcentral lists this ribosomal RNA (253 nucleotides) under uncultured bacterium. RNAcentral describes it as "partial 16S ribosomal RNA". It matches the Rfam family "Bacterial small subunit ribosomal RNA", at positions 524 to 776 of the family's 1533-position model. The record is from RNAcentral.